UAGGGAAUCUUCGGCAAUGGGGGGAACCCUGACCGAGCAACGCCGCGUGAGUGAAGAAGGUUUUCGGAUCGUAAAGCUCUGUUGUUAAGGAAGAACGAGUGUGAGAAUGGAAAGUUCAUGCUGUGACGGUACUUAACCAGAAAGGGACGGCUAACUACGUGCCAGCAGCCGCGGUAAUACGUAGGUCCCGAGCGUUGUCCGGAUUUAUUGGGCGUAAAGCGAGCGCAGGCGGUUAGAAAAGUCUGAAGUGAAAGGCAGUGGCUCAACCAUUGUAGGCUUUGGAAACUGUUUAACUUGAGUGCAGAAGGGGAGAGUGGAAUUCCAUGUGUAGCGAUGAAAUGCGUAGAUAUAUGGAGGAACACCGGUGGCGAAGGCGACUUGCUGGACUUCAACUGACGCUGAGGAACGAAAGCGUGGGUAGCAAACAGG
Molecule: ribosomal RNA, 429 nt
Filed under: Verrucomicrobiota bacterium
Lineage: Bacteria; Pseudomonadati; Verrucomicrobiota
Description: Verrucomicrobia bacterium partial 16S ribosomal RNA
Rfam family: Bacterial small subunit ribosomal RNA
Source: RNAcentral